RNAcentral lists this ribosomal RNA (1056 nucleotides) under Gamsiella multidivaricata. RNAcentral's name for it is "LSU rRNA". It matches the Rfam family "Eukaryotic large subunit ribosomal RNA", at positions 44 to 960 of the family's 3401-position model. Lineage: Eukaryota; Fungi; Mortierellomycota; Mortierellomycetes; Mortierellales; Mortierellaceae. The record is from RNAcentral.
CAAUAAGCGGAGGAAAAGAAACUAACAAGGAUCCCCUUAGUAACGGCGAGUGAAGCGGGGUGAGCUCAAAUUUAAAAUCUGGCUGGUUUACUAGUCCGAAUUGUAGUUUAUAGAAGCGUUUUCGGUGGCAGCCUGGGUAUAAAUCCUUUGGAAUAGGGUAUCAUAGAGGGUGAGAAUCCCGUCUUUGACCUAGUGCAUGCUACUAUGUGAUACGUUUUCAAAGAGUCGAGUUGUUUGGGAAUGCAGCUCAAAAUGGGUGGUAAAUUUCAUCUAAAGCUAAAUACAGGCGAGAGACCGAUAGCGAACAAGUACCGUGAGGGAAAGAUGAAAAGAACUUUGAAAAGAGAGUUAAACAGUGCGUGAAAUUGUUGAAAGGGAAACGUUUGACACCAGUUAUGCGGAUGGCAAAUCAGUCAAUUGCUGUAGGGAGUGGUAGGGGUUCGGACCGCAAGGCCGGCCUGUGCCUCAUUUUUGCAGUAAUUGAUGCACUUUGUCAUUUGCAGGUCAACAUCAGUUUCUUCUGCUGGACAAAACUCCAAGAGAAGGUAGCAGCUUUGGCUGUGUUAUAGCUCUGGAGCGAUACAGUGGUGGGGACUGAGGAUUUCGCAGUGUGUGCUCUCGGGCAAGGCCGACUGGGUGCUAUGGGAUCGUUCAGCGUACAAUGCAUGCAUUUUGCGCUGUGUCUUUUUCAUACUCGCUCAGCUCGGCUCUUCCACACUUAGGAUGUUGACUUAAUGGUUUUAAACGACCCGUCUUGAAACACGGACCAAGGAGUCUAACAUAUAUGCGAGUGUUUGGGUGGCAAACCCAUACGCGUAAUGAAAGUGAACGUAGGUGCGAUCCGCAAGGUGCAGCAUCGACCGAUCUUGAUAUUUUUGGAUAGAUUUGAGUAAGAGCAUAUAUGCUGGGACCCGAAAGAUGGUGAACUAUGCCUGAAUAGGGUGAAGCCAGAGGAAACUCUGGUGGAGGCUCGUAGCGAUUCUGACGUGCAAAUCGAUCGUCAAAUUUGGGUAUAGGGGCGAAAGACUAAUCGAACCAUCUAGUAGCUGGUCUGCG